This 467-nucleotide ribosomal RNA is filed under the name uncultured bacterium. Its description in RNAcentral is "partial 16S ribosomal RNA". It matches the Rfam family "Bacterial small subunit ribosomal RNA", at positions 29 to 507 of the family's 1533-position model. The record is from RNAcentral.
ACGAACGCUGGCGGCGUGCUUAACACAUGCAAGUCGAACGGAAAGGCCCUGCUUUUGUGGGGUGCUCGAGUGGCGAACGGGUGGGUAACACGUGAGUAACCUGCCCUUGACUUUGGGAUAACUUCAGGAAACUGGGGCUAAUACCGGAUAGGAGCUCCUGCUGCAUGGUGGGGGUUGGAAAGUUUCGGCGGUUGGGGAUGGACUCGCGGCUUAUCAGCUUGUUGGUGGGGUAGUGGCUUACCAAGGCUUUGACGGGUAGCCGGCCUGAGAGGGUGACCGGCCACAAUGGGACUGAGAUACGGCCCAGACUCCUACGGGAGGCAGCAGCGGGGAAUAUUGCACAAUGAGCGGAAGCCUGAUGCAGCAACGCCGCGUGCGGGAUGACGGCCUUCGGGUUGUAAACCGCUUUCGCCUGUGACGAAGCGUGAGUGACGGUAAUGGGUAAAGAAGCACCGGCUAACUACGUG